Molecule: ribosomal RNA, 253 nt
Filed under: uncultured bacterium
Lineage: Bacteria
Description: partial 16S ribosomal RNA
Rfam family: Bacterial small subunit ribosomal RNA
Source: RNAcentral
UACGGAGGGAGCGAGCGUUGUUCGGAAUCACUGGGCGUAAAGCGUGCGUAGGCGGUAUGACAAGUCGGAAGUGAAAGCCCGGGGCUCAACCUCGGAAUUGCUUUCGAAACUGUUAAACUAGAGUCCUGGAGAGGUAAGCGGAAUUCCGAGUGUAGAGGUGAAAUUCGUAGAUAUUCGGAGGAACACCAGUGGCGUAAGCGGCUUACUGGACAGGAACUGACGCUGAGGCACGAAAGCGUGGGGAGCAAACAGG